This 456-nucleotide ribosomal RNA is filed under the name Triticum aestivum (bread wheat). RNAcentral's name for it is "partial small subunit ribosomal RNA". Lineage: Eukaryota; Viridiplantae; Streptophyta; Magnoliopsida; Poales; Poaceae. The record is from RNAcentral.
AUGGAGACCGAUUCUGAUGGUGUUGCACUUGCAUCAUGGGUGCUGGGAAGAACCGUUGAACUGGACAAGCUACUUCCCCUGGAUCUAGAAGAGGAAGAGAACUCAGGAGAGGAGGAGAGUUCUGAUGGUGUUGCGUCAUCGGUGCUGGGAAGAACCGUUGAACUGGACAAGCUAUUUUCCCUGCAUCCAGAAGAGGAAGAGAGCUCAGAAGAGGAGGAGAGCUCAGAAGAGGAAGAUAACGAGUCCCCAUUCCCAAUUAUACUAGGGUUUGCUAAAUACAAUAAUGUGGUUUUCCUAUGGACACCUAUCCACAACUUCACACUCCAGCUUGAGUCACUGCAGUUCAAGAAAGUGUCCCAAAUACACAUGUGGGCUCGCUAUUAUCCAUUCGAAAGUGCCUAUGCAGCAGAUGCUUCUCAAGAUGGGAUACAUAAUGGUUGGAAUGCCCCCUUGUAG